CUCCCCAAAAAUUCCAACUCCCCCCUCUCCCACGAAAAGAAAAAGAGGGUUAACUAUGGCGGACAACUUCCAGAAGCAGCCCCUCUGCUCGCUCGUUUCCGACGUCGACAACCACCAUGGCGGCGACCCUCCCCGCCUUCCUAAUUGUUCCACCUGAUUGUUCCCAUCCGAUCUCUUGCGUUAUUUCGGUGGAUGAAGGAAUCGAUUUCCCCUUCGUAUUUUGAGUCCGAUUGCAGCUACCGCGACGAUUCCGAUCUGUGCUGAAUUGAUGGAUUUCAUGGGCGAAACUAAGGCGAUGGGGAAGAAUGGUAUCGGCCUAUGCGUCGUGCUUCGAGAAGCAGAAGGAAGUUCGAUGAAACCGAAGCCGAGAGUAUUACGAUCGUGGGGAUUCACAAGUCCGAGAUGGCCAAACUCGUGAUUUUGAACCCCUGACAAAGGGGGGGACCGCCACCUCGGCGAUACCGCUUUACUAUUUCGACCACCACCAGGAUGCAGGAUGCAGGAUGCAGGAUGCAGGAUGCCCAUCCAACUGCAG
This is a long non-coding RNA of Musa acuminata AAA Group (dessert banana), 535 nucleotides long. RefSeq lists it as uncharacterized. The record is from RefSeq and is a predicted model, not a curated record. The transcript is spliced from 3 exons. Lineage: Eukaryota; Viridiplantae; Streptophyta; Magnoliopsida; Zingiberales; Musaceae.